GUGUUGUGUGUUUUGUCGGCGAUCUCUUCCGGUCAAACAGUCUCUGAUGAAGCAGCAGCGGCAGCAGCAGCAGCAGCGACACGGGAACCGGACCGCUCUCGUUUCUGUGCGGGUUCUGUUCUGGUUCUGCUGCUGAAAAAAACCCAAACCCGCGCUUUUAAUCCCGGAAAACUGCGGGGGGGAAAAGAACGCGACGGAUCGGGCAGCGGCGAGACGGGAAAAGGAGCGGAAAACGUGGGACGCCGUGGCCGAAAAAGGCAGCUCCAAUGCGGACUGGCUCGUAAGAUGUCUAAUGUUAUGAUGGAAGCCACCACCAUCCUCCCCAUCCUCAAGAAGAAGCUGGCCUUCCUCUCAGGGGGUAAGGACCGGCGCAGCGGGCUCAUCCUCACCAUCCCCCUGUGCUCCGACCAGACCAGCAUGGAGGAGCUCAGUGCCACGCUCGACUACCUGCUCAGCAUACCCAGCGAGAAGUGCAAAGCUCGGGGCUUCACCGUGAUCGUGGACGGACGCAGGUCUCAGUGGAACAUCGUCAAGACCGUGGUGCUCAUGCUGCAGAACGUGAUCCCGGCGGAGGUGUCCCUGGUCUGUGUGGUCAAACCCGACGAGUUCUGGGACAAGAAGGUCACUCACUUCUGCUUCUGGAAGGAGAAGGACCGUCUGGGCUUUGAGGUGAUCCUGGUUUCGGCCAACAAGCUGACGCGAUACAUCGAGCCCUCUCAGCUCACGGACGACUUCGGAGGAACGCUGGACUAUGACCACAGCGACUGGCUCGGCAAAAGACUGGUUUUUGAGAAGUUCACCAAAGAGUCCACCUCGCUCCUGGACGAGCUGUCAAUCAUCAACGACGCCGACAAGAGCAGCGCACAGGACAAAGACAAACCCGCGGACUGUAACCUGCUGCCAUCGUUUGACCCUGAAACUGUCCUCCAGAGCGGUCAUGAGCUUCUGUCUGAGCUUCAGCAGAGGAGGUUUAACGGUUCAGAGGGAGGAGGCCCUGGAGGCCCGGCGUGGUGUCCCAUGGAGGAGGAGCUUCUGGCCCAGCCUCAGGUGAUGAAGCUGCUGGACUCGCUGAGAGAACAGUACACCAGGUACCAGGAGCUGUGCAGGCAGAGGAGCAAGAGGAGCCAGCUGGAGGACAUCCACACCAAGGUCAUGCAGGUGGUGACGUGGCUCCAGGGUCCAGGCUCCGAGCUGCUGAAGUCCCAUCAGGCCAUAGGAGACUCCAUCAGAGCGGCUCAGGCUCUGCAGCAGAAGCACGAGGAGAUCGAGAGUCAGCACAGCGAGUGGUUUGCGGUGUACGUGGAGCUGAACCAGCAGAUCGGCGCCCUCCUCAGCGCGGGGGAGGAGGAGGAGGUGGUGGAGCUCAAGUCUCUGCAGCAGAAGCUCAGCGACGUGUGCUACAGGCAGGCCGCUCAGCUGGAGACCCGGCAGAACGUGCUCCAGGCCGCGCACAGCUUCCACAGCACCACGCAGGAGUUGUCCCAGCAGCUGGACAGUCUUCUGGGGAUGCUCUGUGCGGACGUGGCCCCGGCCGACGGAGCCGCCAUCCAGCAGAACCUCAAGAUGCUGGAGGAGAAACUGCAGACUGUGGAGUCGGGCCUGACGUCGCUGCGGCAGAAGGGGGCGCUGUUGCUGGAGCAGAUGUGCGGGCAGACGGCGUGGCCUGUGGAAGAAGCAGAGGGGACGUCGGAGGAGCAGCAGGGCAACGUCCAGCAGAUCCAGGCGGUCAUGGACGAGAUGCAGCUCCGUAAGCAGAGGUGUGAAGACAUGGUGGACGUCAGGAGGCUCAAGAUGCUACAGAUGGUCCAACUGUUCAAGUGUGAAGAGGACGCUCUACAGUCGGUGGAGUGGCUGGGCGAGCUCCUGGACGCUCUGCUCAAGACUCAUGUCCGACUGGGAGACGAUUCUCAGGAGACCAGGACCAUGCUGGACAAACACCGCAAGUUUGUGGACGUGGCUCAGAGCACGUACGACUACGGGCGGCAGCUGCUGCAGGCGACGGUGGUGCUGUGUCAGUCUCUGCGCUGUACCACACGCUCCUCGGGGGACACGCUGCCCAGACUCAACCGCGUCUGGAAACAGUUCAGCGUGAGCGCGGACCAGAGGCAGGCCAGGCUGGAGCUGGCCCUGGACUUCCACACCGCAGCAGAGAGGGUGCUGCAGGAGGUGUGUGUGGACGCGGCCGCUCUCGAUGACGUGGAUUCUUCGGGGAAAGCUCUCCUGGACAGACUCACUUUGCCGGUCAUCUUCCCCGACGGGAGCGAGCACUUCUUCGGCAGCCCCAGUGACACGGCGGUGGCGGCUGAAGGCGUCAGAGAGCGCCUCCUGCUGGUGGAGGAGCGGCGGUUACAACUGCAGGCGGCGGGCAUCGGGUACCACGACGAAGAGGAGGAGGAGGAGGAGGAGGAAGGGGAGGGCCGCGAAGGGGAAGGGGCGGGGCUUCUGAAGAGACAGGACUCUAAACUGGACGUGAUCGGGGAGGAGCUGAACGAGAGAGACGAAGGAGAAGAGGAGGAAGAGGAGGAGGAGGACGGGGAGCUGCACAGAGACGAGCAGGACUGUUGAAUAUAAUAUAAAAAAAUGAACUUUAACCGGGAUUAUGGAGAUCUGGGGUCCACCGAGGCUACAUCCAGGGGUUUCAGAUUUUACAAAAAAAAUUUAUUGAUGUUGCAGAUGUUGCAAUUUCAUCCACAUUUUUUUUUUUUUUUUUUAAAUCAAGUUUCGGUGCACAUGAACAUUUGCAAACAUCACAAAAACACAGAAAUAAAAACCCGUCGUCACUUCACAGGCAGAAGAAACAUCGACUAAAACUGGACUAAAAUUGGACUAAAGCUGGACUAAAACAAGACUGAAACUGGACUAAAACUGGACUGAAGAAGGACUGAAACAGGACUAAAUCCGGUUUAAAUGAGGUCUAAACCAGGACUGAACCAGGACUAAAACAGGAGUAAAUCAGGACUGGUCCUAGGAGGACUAAAACAGGACUGAACCAGGACGAAGACUGGACUAAACCAGGACUAAACCAGAUCCAUACCAGGAGUGAUCCCAGGAGGACUAAAUCAGGAUUAAGUCAGGACUGAACCAGGACUGAACCAGGACUGAACCAGGACUGAACCAGGACUGAACCAGGACUGAUCCAGGACUGAUCCCAGGAGGACUAAAUCAGGACUAAAUCAGGACUGAACCAGGGCUAAAACAGGACUAAAACAGGAUUGAACAGGUCUAAAUCAGGUCUAAAUGAGGUUUAAAUGAGGUCUAAACCAGGACUGAACCAGGACUGAACCAGGACUGAACCAGGACUGAACCAGGACUAAAACAGGACUAAAACAGGUCUAAAUGAGGUUUAAAUGAGGUCUAAUGAGGUCUAAACCAGGACUAAACCAGGACUAAACCAGGACUAAUCCCAGGACUAAACCAGGACUAAACCAGGACUGAUCCAGGACUGAUCCCAGGAGGACUAAAUCAGGACUAAAACAGGACAAAAACAGGAUUGAACAGGACUAAAUCAGGUCUAAAUGAGGUUUAAAUGAGGUCUAAACCAGGACUGAACCAGGACUGAAUCAAGACUAAACCAGAACUAAAACAGGUCUAAAUGAGGUUUAAAUGAGGUCUAAUGAGGUCUAAACCAGGACUAAACCAGGACUAAACCAGGACUAAACCAGGACUGAUUAGCCUGUCGGACAAAUGAGCUGAUCCCGAUUUAUCACGGGCACGGACAGGUAACAGUUGGAAUAUGACGGGUGCGGAUUUAGCUUUGACAUUAUAAUAAUAAUAAUAAUAAUAAUAACAACAUAGGACCUUUUAAUAAUAUUAGUUUUGGAUGUAGCCCGCUGACCCCAGAGCCUCGUCAUGACCCUGUGAGCUCAAAGCUACAGCCGGUUUGUGGUUCUAAACUGCAAAACCCUGCACUAAAAGACUCGACACUACAUUUCCCAUCAGCCAUCUGGAGAAAAGCCUAACUCGAGCCUGGACUGUUACUGGACUUACGCGAUGAUUCUGCUUUGUAAUACUUUCCUAAAGACUAUUCCAACAUUCCCUUUUCCCCCCAUGUGCAUGCCGCGUUACUGAAGCCGAAGGGAACAACGGAAUUUUCAAAUAUGGAGGAGUCUUUUUUUUUUAAACUAAAGUCUGAUGUUUUCGCCGGUGCUAAUCUGAACCCUGUGUGUGCCUCUCUCCGUCUGCUUCUGGCCUUUAAUUAUUCCCUUGUGCUAAUAAAAACAUUUGGUGCCAUUGA
Boleophthalmus pectinirostris (great blue-spotted mudskipper) is the source of this 4234-nucleotide RNA transcript. It is a transcript of the gene named SEC14 and spectrin domains 1, with no coding region annotated. The record is from RefSeq and is a predicted model, not a curated record. The transcript has 20 exons. NCBI's taxonomy places the organism in Eukaryota, Metazoa, Chordata, Actinopteri, Gobiiformes, Gobiidae.